AAGGCCUCUGCUUGCAGGGGUACUCGAGUGGCGAACGGGUGAGUAACACGUGGGUGAUCUGCCCUGCACUCUGGGAUAAGCCUGGGAAACUGGGUCUAAUACCAGAUAGGACCACGUCUUGGAUGGUGUGGUGGAAAGUUUUUUCGGUGUGGGAUGAGCUCGCGGCCUAUCAGCUUGUUGGUGGGGUAAUGGCCUACCAAGGCGUCGACGGGUAGCCGGCCUGAGAGGGUGUACGGCCACAUUGGGACUGAGAUACGGCCCAGACUCCUACGGGAGGCAGCAGUGGGGAAUAUUGCACAAUGGGCGCAAGCCUGAUGCAGCGACGCCGCGUGGGGGAUGACGGCCUUCGGGUUGUAAACUCCUUUCGCCAGGGACGAAGCG
RNAcentral lists this ribosomal RNA (381 nucleotides) under uncultured Corynebacterium sp. Its description in RNAcentral is "bacterial SSU rRNA". It matches the Rfam family "Bacterial small subunit ribosomal RNA", at positions 69 to 452 of the family's 1533-position model. Lineage: Bacteria; Bacillati; Actinomycetota; Actinomycetes; Mycobacteriales; Corynebacteriaceae. The record is from RNAcentral.